AGCGAACGCUGGCGGCAGGCCUAACACAUGCCAGUCGAACGAACCUUUCGGGGUUAGUGGCGGACGGGUGAGUAACACGUGGGAACGUGCCUUUAGGUUCGGAAUAACUCAGGGAAACUUGUGCUAAUACCGAAUGUGCCCUUCGGGGGUAAGAUUAAUCGCCUUUAGAGCGGCCCGCGUCUGAUUAGCUAGUUGGUUGAGGUAAUGGCUCACCAAGGCGACGAUCAGUAGCUGGUCUGAGAGGAUGAUCAGCCACAUUGGGACUGAGACACGGCCCAAACUCCUACGGGAGGAAGCAGUGGGGAAUCUUGCGCAAGGGGCGAAAGCCUGACGAAGCCAGGCCGCGUGAAUGAUGAAGGUCUUAGGAUUGUAAAAUUCUUUCACCGGGGACGAUAAUGACGGUACCCGGAGAAGAAGCCCCGGCUAACUUCGUG
RNAcentral lists this ribosomal RNA (434 nucleotides) under uncultured bacterium. RNAcentral describes it as "partial 16S ribosomal RNA". It matches the Rfam family "Bacterial small subunit ribosomal RNA", at positions 29 to 507 of the family's 1533-position model. The record is from RNAcentral.